Molecule: long non-coding RNA, 427 nt
Organism: Colius striatus (speckled mousebird)
Lineage: Eukaryota; Metazoa; Chordata; Aves; Coliiformes; Coliidae
Exons: 3
Source: RefSeq, a predicted model, not a curated record
UCCCGGCAGCUUCGCAGCCUGCGCUGGGCCGGCCAUGGCGAGCGGGCGUGUGCUGGCGGCUGCGGCCGCGCUGGUGGCACUGGGGGCGCUGGGAGCCCACCCGGCUGCCGCGGAGGAGACCUCAGCGCCGUGGGGGAGUCAGUAGCCAGGUGCCCAACAGGCAGCAGCACGUCCCGGACAGCAGACGGGCUGAGGAGGACACGUUCUGCCAGAGCUGCGUGGAAGCUUCAUCGUGCAGAGGGCUCCUGAGCAACUCCAAGCUCUGCUCCAGCAGCAUCCUCUGCCCACACUCCCCCCAAACCGCCGGGAGGGGGGGGUCUCUCCCCAAUAAACCCCCACCGAGAGCUGGGCUGGGGGUGUUGUUUGGGGAGGGGCUCCCCAAAUCUGUGGGAGGGGGAUCAGCACCCUCCCGGCUGCAGCAGGAGUA